AGCGGCGGACGGGUGAGUAACACGUAGGCAACCUGCCCGCAAGACCGGGAUAACAUUCGGAAACGAAUGCUAAGACCGGAUACGCAAGAGGGAGGCAUCUUCCUGUUGGGAAACACGGAGCAAUCUGUGGCUUGCGGAUGGGCCUGCGGCGCAUUAGCUAGUUGGUGGGGUAACGGCUCACCAAGGCGACGAUGCGUAGCCGACCUGAGAGGGUGAACGGCCACACUGGGACUGAGACACGGCCCAGACUCCUACGGGAGGCAGCAGUAGGGAAUCUUCCACAAUGGGCGCAAGCCUGAUGGAGCAACGCCGCGUGAGUGAGGAAGGCCUUCGGGUCGUAAAGCUCUGUUGCCAGGGAAGAAUAAGGGUGAGGUGACUACUCACCCGAUGACGGUACCUGAGAAGAAAGCCCCGGCUAACUACGUGCCAGCAGCCGCGGUAAUACGUAUGGGGCGAGCGUUGUCCGGAAUUAUUGGGCGUAAAGCGCGCGCAGGCGGUUUCUUAAGUCUGGUGUUUAAGUGCGGGGCUCAAC
This 532-nucleotide ribosomal RNA is filed under the name Cohnella sp. RNAcentral describes it as "bacterial SSU rRNA". It matches the Rfam family "Bacterial small subunit ribosomal RNA", at positions 94 to 613 of the family's 1533-position model. The record is from RNAcentral. Lineage: Bacteria; Bacillati; Bacillota; Bacilli; Caryophanales; Paenibacillaceae.